This 895-nucleotide long non-coding RNA is filed under the name Chloebia gouldiae (Gouldian finch). RNAcentral describes it as "Erythrura gouldiae (Gouldian finch) lncRNA (ENSEGOG00005006823.1)". Lineage: Eukaryota; Metazoa; Chordata; Aves; Passeriformes; Passeridae. The record is from RNAcentral.
GGAGGUGUGACUGGAUGGACCACAGGAUGGACCACAGGUUUGGUCACGCAGGAUGUGAGUCACUUGAGGGACCUGUGCUGUCCUGACAUGGAGCAAACAGGGGUAGUGAGUCAGAGGUGGCCUGAGCAUGCCAUGGUGGAGCACCAGAAAUAACCUCAGGCUCCAUGGAGGAGCUGCUGACGUGGAGACAGCCAGAUUUGCAGCAUUCUGACAGUGUGUAAGGGGGUGGCAGAGCUCCAGAUGGGGUUCCCCAUGGUAUGAGCUGGAGCAGGCUUUGAACCUGUGCUGCUUUUAGAGCUGAAAUAGGUUUUCAUGUCUGUCUGCUGGCCCAGCAACACCCUCACUGCACUGAGGAGCCUCUGACUGCACACAGGACCUGCCAGGGCCCAGCAGCAAGAUUAAUGUGUCUGGGAAUUUCCUGGCUGGCUCAGUAUUACUGGUGGAGAUGUUGUCUCUGUUCCGUGGAAUUCCUGCAUUUCUGGGGAAUAGCAUCAAGCAGAAGGGAUCACUCUGCCUCUGUGGGGACAGUGGCAGCUUGCUCUUGUUCACAGACUUUAGGAGAUGGCCCCUCAGGAAGCAACACAUGGAUGCUGUGUGAAACUUUGAGACAGGCCCCACGCUGAGCUCUGCUGUGCUCUCGUGAAUUUAUAACAGAACUGCUACACUGAAAUCGUUCCAAGGUUUUGCUGGUGAGGAUGCAGCCAAAAUCUCUCCCAUGGGGAGCAGAAGUGCUGCAGAGGAGUUUGCCCCCUUCACCAGGUCAGUUUGAAGUUUGGCUGUCCUGCAAAAGUGUGUUGCUUUUAUUCUCAGAGUUACAGGCAAAUAAGAAAGGUAAGGAAUACAGUGUUUUCCCCAGGCAGUGGGAUUCUUUGGAGCAGUGAAUCCCCCAGGGAGG